Molecule: long non-coding RNA, 1096 nt
Organism: Leopardus geoffroyi (Geoffroy's cat)
Lineage: Eukaryota; Metazoa; Chordata; Mammalia; Carnivora; Felidae
Exons: 3
Source: RefSeq, a predicted model, not a curated record
AGGCGGCCGGCGCUCCGGGGAAACGCGCAGCCCGGCCAGGCUGGUGGGGACGAGGUCCCCGGGCGAGGGGCGUAAGCUGGGUGCGCCCCGGGGAGACCGGGCCACAGGUUCCCGGGCCGGGGCGGGCGCGCGGAACCGCAGUCGGCGGGGCGGGGGACGCCCUCCCCUUCCACGCCCAGCGAGCGCUGAAACUGUCCGGCCGAAGAGUCCUAGCUCUCCCAACCGCCUCGGCGCGGGCCCGCGCACCCCCCGCCCUGGCCCCCAGCACGCCCCGAGGGCGCCAGGAUAGGAGUGGAACGGGCUGAUUCAGGGGUUUGCUGUGGAGGCAUCGCGCGUGGGACAGCAGCCUGCGACUGGCGAGACCAAGGAAACUCGCUGCCGGGGUCCUGGCUGGACCUAGCGGAAACUUAGGUCUCCGGCAGCCAGGAACCUUGCCACCCUUGGCCCACCCCGGAAUUUGUAGAUGAACUACCCAGGAGCGAUGUAUGAGGCGACAGCGGCGUGCAGACCCGCUUUGGGACAGGUUAUAAACAUCUUCCUUUUCAAGAACGCUCAAGCCAGUCUAAGAUCUGAGGCACCGGUGAGGAGAUAACAACAGCCAAUUAUCCUACCUUGGUAUGCUGAGCAACUUAACCUUGAAGCAGAAUUAACUCUUAUCAGUGGUCUUAUUAGUGGCCUUAAAACACAGGGAUGGGGAUGCCCAAAGAUAAUUUAGUAAGUAUGAUUAAUUUUUCAAUGAUUCCAGAGCUCAAAGAGUUCUGUAAGUGAACCCUCUGCCCCAAAACUGAAGUAAGAUGGUUUUCAUGUAUCAGAAAAUUCUGCCUUAAUUUAACCUAAAUUCUUAAGGGCUUUUAAACCCAUUUUCCUCCCAAGUUCUGCAUGAAGUCACUCUCCUUCCUUGUAAUUAAAAUGUUUGCAGAAACUGUUGCCAUCUAGCCUUCUGUUCUUUAAACAUUUACUUUUCUCCCUUAUUUCCUAUUUUUAAGUCAGCUUUGCUGUUCUUCUGAACCCUUUCAUUAUCUUCAUGUCUUUCUUACUGAAAGUCAAACAUAUCAAAAGACUUCCCACAUUAAAUAAAUUUCUGUUUUAUCCUUAA